This 465-nucleotide ribosomal RNA is filed under the name Vreelandella stevensii. RNAcentral describes it as "partial 16S ribosomal RNA". It matches the Rfam family "Bacterial small subunit ribosomal RNA", at positions 338 to 795 of the family's 1533-position model. The record is from RNAcentral. Lineage: Bacteria; Pseudomonadati; Pseudomonadota; Gammaproteobacteria; Oceanospirillales; Halomonadaceae.
CCUAUGGGUGGCAGCAGUGGGGAAUAUUGGACAAUGGGCGAAAGCCUGAUCCAGCCAUGCCGCGUGUGUGAAGAAGGCCUUCGGGUUGUAAAGCACUUUCAGUGGGGAAGAAAGCCUUGGGGCUAAUACCCUCGAGGAAGGACAUCACCCACAGAAGAAGCACCGGCUAACUCCGUGCCAGCAGCCGCGGUAAUACGGAGGGUGCGAGCGUUAAUCGGAAUUACUGGGCGUAAAGCGCGCGUAGGCGGUCUGAUAAGCCGGUUGUGAAAGCCCCGGGCUCAACCUGGGAACGGCAUCCGGAACUGUCAGGCUAGAGUGCAGGAGAGGAAGGUAGAAUUCCCGGUGUAGCGGUGAAAUGCGUAGAGAUCGGGAGGAAUACCAGUGGCGAAGGCGGCCUUCUGGACUGACACUGACGCUGAGGUGCGAAAGCGUGGGUAGCAAACAGGAUUAGAUACCCCAGUAGUC